This is a small nucleolar RNA of Humulus lupulus (European hop), 107 nucleotides long. Lineage: Eukaryota; Viridiplantae; Streptophyta; Magnoliopsida; Rosales; Cannabaceae. The record is from RefSeq and is a predicted model, not a curated record.
AUACCAUGAUGAGGGCACUUCCCUAACAGCUCUUUGAAUACCUCCCAUGCAUCAUACAAUGAUUCCCCUUCAGUCUAAUAGAAAUAAUUAAUCUCCCAUCUGAACUU